GCCGGGGUGGCCGAGCGGACCAAGGCGGUGGACAUAUUAUCCACUGCCCCUUACGGGGUGCCCGGGUUCAAAUCCCGGCCCCGGCGCCA
RNAcentral lists this transfer RNA (89 nucleotides) under Thermofilum pendens. RNAcentral describes it as "tRNA-Ile". It matches the Rfam family "tRNA". From Rfam's summary of the family: Transfer RNA (tRNA) molecules are approximately 80 nucleotides in length. Their secondary structure includes four short double-helical elements and three loops (D, anti-codon, and T loops). Lineage: Archaea; Thermoproteati; Thermoproteota; Thermoprotei; Thermofilales; Thermofilaceae. The record is from RNAcentral.